UGUGUGUGUAAGAUGUUCACACUUGCACUUUUCAUAUUUCUAAAUUUUUGGGACUCAAGUAUUUGACAUUUAUGAAAUUAAAUAAAUAUUGACAUGACAAUCAAUCUGAAACCCUUAGUUUCAAAUUUGUUUUCAGAAUUUUUUCUGUUAACAGGAUUUCCUGUUUUUCAAACACAGCUCUGGUAUCGGAAUAUUAUCUGUAUUGGCCGAUAUCCAAAUUUAGGUAUCGGGAUCGGAUCGGAAGUGAAAAAAUGUGGAUCGGUG
Gasterosteus aculeatus aculeatus (three-spined stickleback) is the source of this 264-nucleotide long non-coding RNA. The record is from Ensembl. Lineage: Eukaryota; Metazoa; Chordata; Actinopteri; Perciformes; Gasterosteidae.